AUUGAACGCUGGCGGCAUGCUUUACACAUGCAAGUCGAACGGUAACAGGCCGCAAGGUGCUGACGAGUGGCGAACAGGUGAGUAAUGCAUCGGAACGUGCCCAGUCGUGGGGGAUAACGCAGCGAAAGCUGUGCUAAUACCGCAUACGAUCUAUGGAUGAAAGCGGGGGACCGUAAGGCCUCGCGCGAUUGGAGCGGCCGAUGUCAGAUUAGGUAGUUGGUGGGGUAAAGGCUCACCAAGCCAACGAUCUGUAGCUGGUCUGAGAGGACGACCAGCCACACUGGGACUGAGACACGGCCCAGGCUCCUACGGGAGGCAGCAGUGGGGAAUUUUGGACAAGGGGCGCAAGCCUGAUCCAGCAAUGCCGCGUGCAGGAAGAAGGCCUUCGGGUUGUAAACUGCUUUUGUACGGAACGAAACGGCGAGCUCUAAUACAGUUUGCUAAUGACGGUACCGUAAGAAUAAGCACCGGCUAACUACGUGCCAGCCGCCGCCGUAA
Molecule: ribosomal RNA, 498 nt
Filed under: uncultured bacterium
Lineage: Bacteria
Description: partial 16S ribosomal RNA
Rfam family: Bacterial small subunit ribosomal RNA
Source: RNAcentral